GUCCUGAAGCGUUACCCGUGCCGUGAAUGCGAGCUCUCCUUCCACACCUCCGUCACCCUGCGCAGACACGUCCGCAACAACCACGACACAGCCAAGAAGGUCUACACCUGCUGGUACUGCCCCGAGGAGCGGCCCACCUUCCCCCAGCUUCCCCUGCUGGAGAGCCACAUCAGCCUUAUGCACGCAUCAAGAGCCCCGACUGGAGCCAGGCGUCCAAGGCCGCGGCUCCGGAGAGGGGACCCUGCCCAGAUGAGAGGUCUGAAGAGAGCAGCCGGCGCGGGCGGGGAAGGCCCGGGCCCGACCAACGGAGAGGCCAGCCCCGCCCCCAAAAGACUCCAGGCCCUCUUCCAGUGUGCGAAGUGCAGCUUCGCCACGGACUCGGGGCCCGAGUUCCAGGCCCACAUACCUCAGCACCGGACGGGCAGCUCCGCGGCCCAGUGCCGCUCUGCGGCCUCUGCUACACGUCGGCCGGCUCCCUCAACCGGCACCUCUUCAUCGUGCACAAGGUGAGAGACCCGGCGGAAGAGCAGGAGGAAGAAGCGGAGGAGGAGGGGCGGGGGCAGAAGAGGAGGAAGAAGAGGAGGAGGAGGAGGAGGAGGGAGGAGGAGGCCGGAGGGGGCGGCAGGAAGAGCCGGCCCCGCAGCCCCCCGCGGAGACGAGCGAGAACGGACACGAGGACCUGAACGGGGAGCCUCGCGGGGAGGGGGCGGGGGGCCCCGAGGACCGCGGGCCGGACGCGCAGAGCCAGCCGCCGGCCACUCGGGACCAGGAGGGCCGGUCUCCGCCGCCCCAGGUCUGACCGGACGCUCGGCGGGGCGGCCGGGCAGGGGAGGGGCCGGACCGGCCUGUAACCGCCCGAGGUCGACGGGAAAUAAAAGCUCUGGCCGUGGUGUGCGUGUGGCUGGCUGUGGCCCCUCGCGCCCCUCCCCGCCCUCGCCCGGCCCGGCGAGCGGAGCCCGGGCCGUUCCGGGUCUGCGGCCGCCACCCGCCGCCUCGCGGUCUUCUCCUCCUAUUUAUGGCCGGACGCUUCCUCCCGGCCCGCCGCCUCCCCUCCCCGCGGCGGGCACCCUCGGCCCGCUCCGCCCCUCUCUGCCCGUUCCCUCCCGUCGCCCGGCUCCGGCCCCCGGCUCAGGGUCUGUGAGAAGCAGCUGGCCUGCAGGCGGGCGGGAGGGACGCCCCUCCGCCCCCCCCGCCCCCGGAUCUGCCCGGGCCCCUCCUCCCCACGGAUGGUUCCGAAGGGUCGGUCGUAGUGGCCGCCUUGACGCCCCUGCCCCGCUCCCCGCCCCCCCCCCGGCCCUUGUCUUCCCUCCCACCCCCCGACCUCCACGGGGCGGGGGGUGACUGCAGAAACCCGAACGGGCCCCGUGGGGCUGGGGUCCCCGGGGGGGUCAGGGGCUUCCGAUGGGUGUGAGGGGGUCGCCGCCGCUCUCCCUCCCCCCCCCCCCCCCGGGGUUUUUGAUAUGAACUCUUUGGAAUCUUUGUACUUUUGAUACCGUGCCACCAGAGGGCGCCGCGGGGCGGGGGGGCGGCCCCCUCCCCAGGCCGCGCUCGUGUCGACUUGAGACUCUUUUGAAUAAAAGCUUCCUUCAACGCCGCAGCCGGCCGGAUCUCUCAUUCCGCCUCGGCCCCGGCCGGGGCCGAGCC
This 1644-nucleotide long non-coding RNA is filed under the name Ornithorhynchus anatinus (platypus). RNAcentral describes it as "lncRNA (ENSOANG00000042411.1)". Lineage: Eukaryota; Metazoa; Chordata; Mammalia; Monotremata; Ornithorhynchidae. The record is from RNAcentral.